UGGGGAAUAUUGCGCAAUGGGGGCAACCCUGACGCAGCCGUGCCGCGUGAAUGAAGAAGGCCUUAGGGUUGUAAAGUUCUUUCGGUAUUGAGGAAGGUUGAUGUGUUAAUAGCACAUCAAAUUGACGUUAAAUACAGAAGAAGCACCGGCUAACUCCGUGCCAGCAGCCGCGGUAAUACGGAGGGUGCGAGCGUUAAUCGGAAUAACUGGGCGUAAAGGGCACGCAGGCGGUUAUUUAAGUGAGGUGUGAAAGCCCUGGGCUUAACCUAGGAAUUGCAUUUCAGACUGGGUAACUAGAGUACUUUAGGGAGGGGUAGAAUUCCACGUGUAGCGGUGAAAUGCGUAGAGAUGUGGAGGAAUACCGAAGGCGAAGGCAGCCCCUUGGGAAUGUACUGACGCUCAUGUGCGAAAGCGUGGGGAGCAAACAGGAUUAGAUACCCUGGUAGUCCACGCUGUAAACGCUGUCGAUUUGGGGGUUGGGGUUUAACUCUGGCGCCCGUAGCUAACGUGAUAAAUCGACCGCCUGGGGAGUACGGCCGCAAGGUUA
RNAcentral lists this ribosomal RNA (547 nucleotides) under uncultured bacterium. Its description in RNAcentral is "bacterial SSU rRNA". It matches the Rfam family "Bacterial small subunit ribosomal RNA", at positions 355 to 896 of the family's 1533-position model. The record is from RNAcentral.